GGGGGUAUAGCUCAGUGGUAGAGUGCAUGCUUAGCAUGCAUGAGGUCCUGGGUUCAAUCCCCAGUACUCCUG
Molecule: transfer RNA, 72 nt
Filed under: Camelus bactrianus (Bactrian camel)
Lineage: Eukaryota; Metazoa; Chordata; Mammalia; Artiodactyla; Camelidae
Also listed under: 2 other names
Rfam family: tRNA
About the family: Transfer RNA (tRNA) molecules are approximately 80 nucleotides in length. Their secondary structure includes four short double-helical elements and three loops (D, anti-codon, and T loops).
Source: Rfam by way of RNAcentral